This 305-nucleotide ribosomal RNA is filed under the name uncultured bacterium. Its description in RNAcentral is "bacterial SSU rRNA". It matches the Rfam family "Bacterial small subunit ribosomal RNA", at positions 335 to 657 of the family's 1533-position model. The record is from RNAcentral.
UUUCCUACGGGACGCAGCAGUGGGGGAUAUUGCACAAUGGGGGGAACCCUGAUGCAGCGACGCCGCGUGGGUGAAGAAGCGCCUCGGCGCGUAAAGCCCUGUCAGCAGGGAAGAAAAUGACGGUACCUGAAGAAGAAGCCCCGGCUAACUACGUGCCAGCAGCCGCGGUAAUACGUAGGGGGCAAGCGUUAUCCGGAUUUACUGGGUGUAAAGGGUGCGUAGGCGGUCGGAUAAGUUAGAGGUGAAAUCCCGAGGCUCAACUUCGGAAUUGCCUCUGAUACUGUUCGGCUAGAGAGUAGUUGCGG